Molecule: unclassified non-coding RNA, 318 nt
Gene: 7SK
Rfam family: 7SK RNA
About the family: 7SK was discovered as an abundant small nuclear RNA in the mid-70s but a possible function has only recently been suggested. Two independent studies have found that 7SK RNA binds the CDK9/cyclin T complex (known as elongation factor P-TEFb). P-TEFb activates transcription by phosphorylating the C-terminal domain of RNA polymerase II.
Source: Ensembl
GGACGUGAGGGCGAUCCAGCUGCAACAUCGUCACCCCACCUUUGGCCAGCGUUGACACGGCUGAUCUUGCAGGCUAGGCAGGGGUCCCCUUCCUCCCUCCCCGCUCCACGUGCGUCCCUCCCGAAGCUGCCCGCUCGGUCGAAAAGGACCUUCCCCGAUAGAGGAGGACUGUUCUUCGGUCAAGGGUAUACGAGUAGCUGCUUCCCUGCUAGAACCUCCAAAUAAGCUCUCGAGGCAGCAGUGGUUGAGUCAACUGUGCUGCUAACUGCUGAGACCCGAAUCAGUCCACCAGAGUGAGUGACACAGAGUCACUGGUGG